RNAcentral lists this ribosomal RNA (253 nucleotides) under uncultured bacterium. Its description in RNAcentral is "partial 16S ribosomal RNA". It matches the Rfam family "Bacterial small subunit ribosomal RNA", at positions 524 to 776 of the family's 1533-position model. The record is from RNAcentral.
UACAGAGGUCUCAAGCGUUGUUCGGAUUCAUUGGGCGUAAAGGGUGCGUAGGCGGCGCGGUAAGUCGGGUGUGAAAGCCCUCGGCUCAACCGAGGAAUUGCGCCCAAAACUGCUGCACUAGAGGAAGACAGAGGUACGCGGAACUUAGGGUGGAGCGGUGAAAUGCGUUGAUAUCCUAAGGAACACCGGUGGCGAAAGCGGCGUACUGGGUCUUAUCUGACGCUGAGGCACGAAAGCUAGGGGAGCGAACGGG